Molecule: ribosomal RNA, 253 nt
Filed under: uncultured bacterium
Lineage: Bacteria
Description: partial 16S ribosomal RNA
Rfam family: Bacterial small subunit ribosomal RNA
Source: RNAcentral
UACGUAGGGUGCGAGCGUUGUCCGGAAUUAUUGGGCGUAAAGAGCUCGUAGGCGGUUUGUCGCGUCGACUGUGAAAACCUACAGCUUAACUGUGGGCUUGCAGUCGAUACGGGCAGACUUGAGUUCGGUAGGGGAGACUGGAAUUCCUGGUGUAGCGGUGAAAUGCGCAGAUAUCAGGAGGAACACCGGUGGCGAAGGCGGGUCUCUGGGCCGAUACUGACGCUCAUGCACGAAAGCGUGGGGAGCAAACAGG